RNAcentral lists this long non-coding RNA (1087 nucleotides) under Equus caballus (horse). RNAcentral's name for it is "lncRNA (ENSECAG00000052588.1)". Lineage: Eukaryota; Metazoa; Chordata; Mammalia; Perissodactyla; Equidae. The record is from RNAcentral.
GGGAAAAAGGCUUUUACUAUUUUCUCUGAUCCCUUCUUCCUCACCUAACAUCAGAGUAGCUGGAGGUGAGAAGAAAGAGGACCAAGAGAGAGUUCAGAGAUGGACUGUGUCUUCUCAUUCACCAGCUCCAAGGUGCCAGAGUAAAGAAAGAAAAGUGCAGAUCACAAUCUCAUCCAUUCUACAGGUGGGGCCUUUGCUUGGAGAGGGAGAGAGUAUUUGAAUUUAGAUUAUGUUGCCAGUGUUCAGAGUCUUCUGAAGAAUAAUGGGCUCCUGUUUGAUGUGCAUUUCAUGACAAAAGUGGCUCAACAAAGAUGAUUUUUCUCAAAACCAUUUCAUACCAUAGGUCUAGGGUAGCCCGGGAAUGCUGGGGCUGGAGCCUGCUUGCCUGGGACACUGGAUAGAAUCUGCAGGCCUCUAAGAAAAGCACUGCAUGUGGCCACUUCCAGCCUGGCAAUGGGUCAUGGUGUUCCUGCAGAGGCCAAAGACUGACACAUGGGGAGACGGGUGAUGAGACAUGUGUCUGAUAUCCCUUUCAAGACCUUGUUCUUAUUAUGACCCUGGGAGAAGAAAACUUCACAGUGAUGAAAGCAGUGAAAUGCACUCAGGCACAAGGAAGGGGCUUGAAAUUGGGUGUCCCCAAGCUAUCAUCAGUUCCUAUGUGACAUGGAUGGGACCCAGAAGCUCCCACACGCCCCUUAAAAGGAUAAAUAGAGAUAAUUGGGAGCAUGGUCAAGGAUCUUGCCUGAAGGUCAGUGUAGUGGAGAAAAAAGAGCCAUCUUGGAACUCUCUGGGCCAGGAUCAUGCCCAUAUACUAGGAAGAAUUCAUAGCACCAUCCAGAGCUGAUGUGCUGAUGGGGGCCCAGUCAGCAGGGACAGUAACUGGGCACUGCUGAGCUAUGUACUACCUGAAUGACACAGAUACCAGCAGCUGAUGACAGCAGGAUGAGCAUUGACUCUUGUCCCAGAACUAGUGUGGACUCUGAAUGGUGAUCUGAGACCCUCCUGCCUUCAAAUCAUGAGGACACUUCUGCCCAACACCCUCUAUAUUCAGAUGCUCUCUUGCUGGGGACAGAGAAGGGAGAAAGAG